GGAGCGACGCCGCGUGGUGGAUGAAGCCCUUUGGGGCGUAAACACCUUUUAUGGAGGAGAAAGUUUAUUGAUGUUACUCCAUGAAUAAGGGGCUCCCAAUUCUGUGCCAGCAGGAGCGGUAAUACAGAAGCCCCAAGCGUUACCCGGAAUCACUGGGCGUAAAGGGUGCGUAGGCGGCUAUAUUAGUCGGGUGUUAAAUCCCGGGGCUCAACCCCGGAAUCGCAUUCGAAACGGUAUAGCUAGGAGAAGUGAGAGGUGCAUGGAACUCAAGGUGUAGGGGUGAAAUCCGUUGAUAUCUUGGGGAACACCAAAUGCGAAGGCAAUGCACUGGCGCUCUCUCGACGCUGAGGCACGAAAGCGUGGGUAGCGAAGAGGAUUAGAUACCCUCGUAGUCCACGCCCUAAACGCUGUCAACUGGCUUUUUCGAGUAUCGACCCUCGAAGAGGCGAAGCUAACGCGUUAAGUUGACCGCCUGGGUAGUACGACCGCAAGGUUAAAACUCAAAGGAAUAGACGGGGACCCGCACAAGCGGUGGAGCGCGAGGCUUAAUUCGUCGCUAAACGAAAAACCUUACCGAGGCUAGAAAUCCAGCUGCACGCUCUGGGAAACCAGAGAAGCUUUCGAAGGUGCUGGACAGGUGAUGCAUGGCUGUCGUCAGUUCGUGGCUUGAGCUGUUCCCUUAAGUGGGGAAACGAACGCAACCCUCGUUGUCUGUUAUAUGUGUCAGGCGAGACUGCUCCCUCACGGGAGAGGAAGGUGAGGAUGACGCCAAGUCAGCAUGUCCCUUGAUGCCUCGGGCUGCACUCACGCUACAAUGGUACGCACAACGGGACGCAAUAUCGUAAGAUGGAGCAAAUCCUUAUAAAACGUGCCCCAGUUCGGAUUGAGGUCUGCAACUCGACCUCAUGAAGUCGGAAUCGCUAGUAAUCGCGGAUCAGCAUGCCGCGGUGAAUACGUUCUCGGGUCUUGUACUCAC
RNAcentral lists this ribosomal RNA (976 nucleotides) under Candidatus Kaiserbacteria bacterium CG10_big_fil_rev_8_21_14_0_10_44_10. RNAcentral describes it as "bacterial SSU rRNA". It matches the Rfam family "Bacterial small subunit ribosomal RNA", at positions 388 to 1390 of the family's 1533-position model. The record is from RNAcentral. Lineage: Bacteria; Candidatus Kaiseribacteriota.